This 253-nucleotide ribosomal RNA is filed under the name uncultured bacterium. RNAcentral describes it as "partial 16S ribosomal RNA". It matches the Rfam family "Bacterial small subunit ribosomal RNA", at positions 524 to 776 of the family's 1533-position model. The record is from RNAcentral.
UACAGAGGUCUCAAGCGUUGUUCGGAUUCAUUGGGCGUAAAGGGUGCGUAGGUGGCUCUGUAAGUCUGGUGUGAAAUUUCGGAGCUUAACUCCGAAACUGCAUUCGAUACUGCGGUGCUUGAGGACUGGAGAGGAGACUGGAAUUCAUGGUGUAGCAGUGAAAUGCGUAGAGAUCAUGAGGAAGACCAGUGGCGAAGGCGGGUCUCUGGACAGUUCCUGACACUGAGGCACGAAGGCCAGGGGAGCAAACGGG